GUUAUCUGCUGACAGCUUGUGCCAAACAAACUCUGCCUACACAAGAGACACAAUCCAGGAAGAGAGGAGAAAAAUACAACAUCAGCUCAACAGUCCCGUGGAGGGACGACGACAAAUGGGUACGUGACCAGGAGAUAAUUUCUGAGCAGCUCAAACUCACUGUAGCGUCUCCACAAAGAAUCAGGUGCAGACGGUUGUCCUCCCUCUGGGAAAGCUUCAGCUGGCCUGCGGACACAUGAGUUAACAGUGUGUUUAUUUAUUGUACAUGUGUUAGGACAUUACUUGUCCAGAGCAUGCUGAGACACAGAAAGAGCAAUGCGUCUCAACUAACUUUAAAAUGUCAAGCAGCAUAUUGUUCUGUUUGCAUGUGGCCGUAAAACUGGUGUCAGUGGGGAAAACUGAACUGGAUGCUCCAGUGUGUGACCCACCGUGUUUCUAUGAGGUAGACAGUGUAGGUUUCCUGCAUGUUCACCGUGUUCUUCCCUGUUCUCUUCUCUGCCUCCGUCACGUUGAUCUCCAUUUUUCUCAACAGGGCUGUCCCUCGUUCCACCAUCUGCGCAGAGGAGAAAGAUCGCGUAAGCAUGAGGAAAAAUAAUACAAACUACUCAUUGAAAUUCAGAAUAUGAAGUUAUAGGGAGGUUUAUCAAGGGGACAUCAGACAAUUAUAACACCAGGUGAGGAGACAUGUGUGCGCAGGGUCACAGUGUGUUCUCCGGGUGGUAAGAGACUAUUAAACGUUCCACUCAGAACCAUGUAGAUUCUGUUAUUGAGCUAAGAUAAGAUAAAAUAAGACUUCUUUUAAUCCCAAAAUAAAUUCUUGUGCCAGCUUGCUCCAAGAUCACAAAGUGUAAUAGAAUAGAAUACAGUGAAUAAAACAAAAAGAGUAUGGAGAGCGAAAAUAUCAGUGAAAAACAAACUUGUGUGUAAAUGAAGCAAACAUUAAUGAGUAAUGCAGAACCAGUGAAAUAGAUCUGAGAGAAAAAUAAGGAAGUUGUAUGAGACAGUGAAAAAAAUACUACACAAAAGUGGCUGACAGUAAUAGUGAUAAAAGGAUGCACUGAUAAUCGGAUUUAUCAGUGAUCUGUACCAGAGUAUCUGUUCUAUGCAGAUGCAUGACAAGGGUUAAACAGAUCAACACAGAGGGGCAGGUCUGUGUUUGUGUCUUCAGGGUUGUGACCACACACUGGAGGGUUGUGACCACACACUGGAGGGUUGUGACAGACGCGUGCAGGUCACAAGACGAGACAGGAUAAUACAAACACCAGCGUCAAUAAACGGGGGGGGGGGGGGGGGGGGUAUCGACCUCUCUCUUUAUCUCAUCUGAAACCAUGAAGCUAAAUCCAUGUCAACUAAACUUUAGCCCUCUGACCUGCUAGCUAACGAGCUAAAGGCAGCAUCAAAGUUUACAAGGUAGCUUCGAGCCACUGCUAGCAUUAGCAACUUGGGCUGACUCUGGCACUUUAGAGUCGCCUUUGCAGAGUUAGCAACUGAAGCUAGUUUGGGAGCUAACAGUCAAUAAAAAGCUGUUUUAAAGUGAAGCCCCGUGUGUCACUAACCCCCCCCCCCUCCCUCCCCGGAAGCUAACACACAGUUCAGGCCUGUUUGGAAAAGUUUUCACCGGUGAGAAAGAGCAGCAGCUCCGGACUAAUGAACAUUGUUUAACGGAGAGAAAGAGCCGUGCACGACCGUGUUGAUGAGGUUGUUCUCCGAUUCAGAUGAAGUCAGGUCGGUGUUUCCGAUCACAGCCACUUCGUUGGUCCCGGAGACAGCGGAGUCAGUGGAGUCAGCAGAGUCAGCCAUCAUCCCCUCCCGUCUGCUCCACUGUCAGCUGAGACGAGGGGCUGCCGCUGCGCAUGCGCGUCCUGUCACAACGACCACUGAGACCUGUGGACGGAAAAACAAAAUAAAGUGAAAUAAAUGUUUUUGUGUUUUAUUAUCAAACAGUACUUAUUAAAUGAUACAUGCAAUAAAAUAAUAAAGUAAAAUAAAAUAGAAGUUUAUCAGCUUAAUGUGUGGUUGUGUAUCUGCAAUGGUUAAAGAUAAUAAAUAGAUAACUAUAAAAUAAAGUGAAAUAAACGUUAGAUGUUUGAUUAUUAAGCAGCACAUAUUAAAUGACAAUUACAAUACCAUUAUGAAGUCAAAUUAAAUCAACUAGAAGUGUAUCAACUAAAUGUGUGGUUUUGUAUCAGCAAUGGUUAAUUGAUAAUAAGUAGGUAACAACAUUUUUUGAAAUACAAAAUAAAUGUUUUUCACUGCAGCAGAAACUGGAUAAACAACUUUUGAGUUUUUAUGACAACUGAAGGGAACCACAGGUGAGGGGUAUUCAGCUGCAACAUGCAACUUCACCACUAGAUGUCACUACAUACUAUACACUGAACGUUGGUCAUUUGAAUAUUAUUUGAAUUUUGAUUAUAGAUUGGAUUAUGUAGAUAAUCCUUUUAGAGUUGUGUGUUGUAUUUUUUUUUACAGCCAAUAUGUGUUAACAGUUUAUUUUGCUAUGUUUGAGAUGUUGCUCUGUUUUGGAUGUGGGGUCAGAUCAGCAGGUCGAUCAGGGAGAGUGACAACAGGUUUGCACCAUUAGUUCUUUGAGAAAGGAGGGGCUGGGUAUCUUUUGCAUUUUGCAGAUAGGUUGAAUUGUGAGCUCCAAACUUGGUCUUGUCUUCAGUGUGGUUUCUAUUUGUCUUUAAGUUAAGCUCACCUCCUACUUACCAGCGCAGGAGGUAGGUUCCAGGCAGGUGAGGCUAUAAAGCAAAAAUUCCAGUCAGUAGAAAGAUGAGUGACUGUGGAUUUGUGUAGUUUUGUGCUCUUUUUUUUCUUUUAUUAUUAUGAUUUAGUUUUUUUUUGUAUUUCCAAGGGAUCUUUUCACCUUCGUGUCGUUGUACCUUUUUGUUAUCCACAAACAAUGAAAGUUCAAGCAAAUGGAUAUUCUUGUAUCAGCUAUGCUUAUUUGAUGAAAAAUUAAUAACUGAAAUAAACAGUUUGGUUUGA
This is a long non-coding RNA of Platichthys flesus (European flounder), 2988 nucleotides long. RefSeq lists it as uncharacterized. The record is from RefSeq and is a predicted model, not a curated record. The transcript is spliced from 2 exons. Lineage: Eukaryota; Metazoa; Chordata; Actinopteri; Pleuronectiformes; Pleuronectidae.